This 253-nucleotide ribosomal RNA is filed under the name uncultured bacterium. RNAcentral describes it as "partial 16S ribosomal RNA". It matches the Rfam family "Bacterial small subunit ribosomal RNA", at positions 524 to 776 of the family's 1533-position model. The record is from RNAcentral.
UACAGAGGGGGCAAGCGUUGUUCGGAAUUACUGGGCGUAAAGGGCGCGUAGGCGGCCUGUUAAGUCGAACGUGAAAUCCCUGGGCUCAACCCAGGAACUGCGUCCGAUACUGGCAGGCUUGAAUUCGGGAGAGGGAUGUGGAAUUCCAGGUGUAGCGGUGAAAUGCGUAGAGAUCCGGAGGAACACCAGUGGCGAAGGCGACACGCUGGGCCAUACCUGACGCUAAAGCGCGACAGCAUGGGGAGCAAACGGG